AACGGCCAUACCAUGCUGAAUAUACCGGUUCUCGUUAGAUCACCGAAGUCAAGCAUCAUUGGGCGUAGUCAGUACUUGGGAGGGUGACCACCUGGGAGCACCGCGUGCCGUU
Molecule: ribosomal RNA, 112 nt
Filed under: Caerostris extrusa
Lineage: Eukaryota; Metazoa; Arthropoda; Arachnida; Araneae; Araneidae
Source: RNAcentral